This 72-nucleotide transfer RNA is filed under the name Dipodomys ordii (Ord's kangaroo rat). It matches the Rfam family "tRNA". From Rfam's summary of the family: Transfer RNA (tRNA) molecules are approximately 80 nucleotides in length. The record is from Rfam by way of RNAcentral. Lineage: Eukaryota; Metazoa; Chordata; Mammalia; Rodentia; Heteromyidae.
GGCAGAGUAGCUCAAGUGGUAGAGUGCCUGGCUGGUAAACAAGAGGCCAGAGUUCAAACCCCAGUACUGCCA